Molecule: ribosomal RNA, 460 nt
Filed under: uncultured bacterium
Lineage: Bacteria
Description: partial 16S ribosomal RNA
Rfam family: Bacterial small subunit ribosomal RNA
Source: RNAcentral
CCUACGGGAGGCAGCAGUGAGGAAUAUUGGUCAAUGGACGCAAGUCUGAACCAGCCAUGCCGCGUGCAGGAUGACGGCCCUAUGAGUUGUAAACUGCUUUUGUACGAGGAUAAAAGCAGACACGCGUGUCUUUCUGAAAGUAUCGUAUGAAUAAGGAUCGGCUAACUCCGUGCCAGCAGCCGCGGUAAUACGGAGGAUUCAAGCGUUAUCCGGAUUUAUUGGGUUUAAAGGGAGCGUAGGUGGUUGGUUAAGUUAGAUGUGAAAUCCCGAGGCUCAACUUCGGAAUUGCCUCUGAUACUGGUCGGCUAGAGAGUAGUUGAGGUAGGCGGAAUGUAUGGUGUAGCGGUGAAAUGCUUAGAGAUCAUACAGAACACCGAUUGCGAAGGCAGCUUACCAAGCUACUACUGACGUUGAGGCACGAAAGUGUGGGUAUCAAACAGGAUUAGAUACCCGUGUAGUC